AUCCCAAGGUCAUCCUCUCGCCA
Molecule: non-coding RNA, 23 nt
Filed under: Arabidopsis thaliana (thale cress)
Lineage: Eukaryota; Viridiplantae; Streptophyta; Magnoliopsida; Brassicales; Brassicaceae
Source: RNAcentral